UCAAGCUCUUUGUAUUCCUCACACGGCGUCUCUCCGCGGCCAUGGUAACACUGCUCCCAAUACAGACUUCUGCUUCUAUUAAUCUACAUUAACAAGAGCUUUACAUGCAGCUGUUAUUCAACAUGAAUCUGGCAGACAUAUGUGACAAUGCCAAGAAGGGCCGUGAGUAUGCUCUGCUGGGGAACUAUGACUCCUCCAUCGUGUACUACCAAGGUGUCAUUCAGCAGAUUCAUAAGCAUUGUCAGUCCCUCAGAGACCCUGCACUUAAAGUCAAGUGGCAACAGGUCAGACAGGAGCUGACUGAGGAGUAUGAGCAGGUCAAGGGAAUCAUGGGAACACUUGAGAGCUUUAAGUCAGAGAAGCCAGUCGAUAUCCUUACCCCUCAGUUAGAGGAGAAAGUUGAGGACCCAGCAGUGUGGCCCCCUCCCACACCAGCAGAACACAGAAAUCCUGUUGCAGUGAAACGUCCUAAUAGUGCCGUGAAGCAGCAGCAGAAGAAGGACUCCCCUGCUAUGCAACAUCGAGGGGCGGGGCCUGUUAGCCGUGGUCAGGGCAACCCUAAAAGUGAACGGCCGGGAUAUAAAGAUGCCCGAGGGACCAAGGCCAAAGAUGAUAAGCAAACAAAGAAAGGGUCUGGAGAGACACCAGGGGAUGUAGAGCAGAAAAAGUUUGAUGGCACAGGAUACGACAGUGACCUGGUAGACUCACUGGAGAGAGAUAUUGUAUCCCGGAACCCUAAUGUACACUGGGAUGACAUUGCUGAUCUGGAAGAUGCUAAGAAGCUGCUGAGAGAAGCAGUCGUGUUACCCAUGUGGAUGCCUGACUUCUUCAAGGGCAUUCGUCGCCCCUGGAAGGGUGUAUUGAUGGUGGGUCCUCCAGGCACAGGGAAGACCAUGUUAGCCAAAGCUGUGGCCACAGAAUGUGGGACUACUUUCUUCAACGUGUCCUCCUCCACGCUCACAUCCAAAUACAGGGGCGAGUCUGAAAAACUUGUCCGUCUGCUGUUUGAAAUGGCCCGGUUUUACGCACCAACAACGAUCUUCAUAGAUGAGAUCGACUCCAUCUGUGGGAGAAGAGGGACAUCUGAUGAACACGAAGCCAGCCGCAGGGUCAAAUCAGAACUGUUGAUUCAAAUGGAUGGUGUGGGAGGAGCCCUGGAGAAUGAUGACCCUUCUAAGAUGGUAAUGGUCCUCGCUGCCACCAACUUCCCCUGGGACAUUGACGAGGCAUUACGGCGACGCCUAGAGAAACGUAUCUACAUCCCCCUGCCCACAGCUUCUGGUCGAGUAGAGCUUCUAAAGAUCAACCUGAGGGAGGUGGAGCUGGCUGCUGACGUGGACCUGGACCUCAUUGCCGAAAAGAUAGAGGGUUACUCUGGAGCUGACAUCACCAACGUCUGCAGGGAUGCAUCGAUGAUGGCUAUGCGUCGUCGUAUCCAAGGCCUGAGCCCCGAGGAGAUCCGAGCUCUGUCUAAAGAUGAGCUGCAGAUGCCUGUGACCAUGGAGGACUUCACCCUCACACUCAAGAAGAUCUCAAAGUCUGUCUCUGCUGCUGAUUUGGAAAAAUACGAAGCCUGGAUGGCAGAAUUUGGGUCCGUAUAGAGACAGCGUAAGCUCACGUGGAACAGGAUGUUUAAAGGUACGCUUGGAGAGGAUGGAGUAUGCAUCUCAAAAGGAAUGAGAUGAUACUGGACUGUUGACUUUGCACCAUCCUUUCCAUAUCCCCUUGCUAGUUACCCUGACCAUCAGUCAUUCAGCUGCUGAGUAAAGAAUGGGAUGACCCCUUCUCCUACAUUGAACUUUUAAUAUAAGAAGUAGCCUGACAUACAGACACGGGUAGAAAAGCGCACUAGUCACACUUACAUAUUGUCUUAAAAUGUAAAUUGUAUGUUUGAGCACUUUUAUCAUAUUCCUCCCAGGAGCUGAUGUAUUUACUACUGACUGAUCACACUUGAAGAACCACAUCGUCUGUGUUACUGUAUGUAGCGACGGCUCAUUUGUUUGUGUUAUUUUUUGUUGUUGUUGGUUUAAAUAUGUGUUUGCAAUUUAACUUAUGUUUAGACAGAAAAAUGUAGUCAAGCUGGAAGUGGCCACCAGGUUUGUGGAUUGUUCAUUAAAGAAACAAAGAUGUAGGCAGAAUGAUGAAGAUCUAUAUUAUUGGAUUUUAUCACUUUCUUCAUUAUUCGGACUAUUGACUCAGUUUACCUUCAGGCAGAGAUGGUGCGGUGUGUUGAGUGAGAAGAGAAACACGCUGAAUCUGUACGGAAUCUGUUCUUCCUGGACGUUU
RNA transcript from Sphaeramia orbicularis (orbiculate cardinalfish), 2286 nucleotides. It is a transcript of the gene named katanin p60 subunit A-like 1, with no coding region annotated. Lineage: Eukaryota; Metazoa; Chordata; Actinopteri; Kurtiformes; Apogonidae. The record is from RefSeq and is a predicted model, not a curated record. The transcript is spliced from 12 exons.